RNAcentral lists this ribosomal RNA (607 nucleotides) under uncultured Cortinariaceae. RNAcentral's name for it is "eukaryotic LSU rRNA". It matches the Rfam family "Eukaryotic large subunit ribosomal RNA", at positions 61 to 649 of the family's 3401-position model. The record is from RNAcentral. Lineage: Eukaryota; Fungi; Basidiomycota; Agaricomycetes; Agaricales; Cortinariaceae.
GAAACUACCAAGGAUUCCCCUAGUAACUGCGAGUGAAGCGGGAAAAGAUCAAAUUUAAAAUCUGGCGGUCUUUUGGCUGUCCGAGUUGUAAUCUAGAGAAGUGUUAUCCGCGCUGGACCGUGUACAAGUCUCCUGGAAUGGAGCAUCAUAGAGGGUGAGAAUCCCGUCUUUGACAUGGACUGCCAGGGCUUUGUGAUGCGCUCUCAAAGAGUCGAGUUGUUUGGGAAUGCAGCUCAAAAUGGGUGGUAAAUUCCAUCUAAAGCUAAAUAUUGGCGAGAGACCGAUAGCGAACAAGUACCGUGAGGGAAAGAUGAAAAGAACUUUGGAAAGAGAGUUAAACAGUACGUGAAAUUGCUGAAAGGGAAACGCUUGAAGUCAGUCGUGUCAUCCGGGGAUCAACCUUGCUUUUGCUUGGUGCACUUUCUGGUUUGACGGGUCAGCAUCAAUUUUGACUAUUGGAAAAAGGUCAAGGGAAUGUGGCAUCUUUGGAUGUGUUUAUAGCCCUUGGUCACAUACAAUGGUUGGGAUUGAGGAACUCAGCACGCCGCAAGGCCGGGUUUUGAACCACGUACGUGCUUAGGAUGCUGGCAAUAUGGCUUUAUCGACC